GAUGAACGCUGGCGGCGUGCCUAAUACAUGCAAGUCGAGCGAACAGACGAGGAGCUUGCUCCUCUGACGUUAGCGGCGGACGGGUGAGUAACACGUGGAUAACCUACCUAUAAGACUGGGAUAACUUCGGGAAACCGGAGCUAAUACCGGAUAAUAUAUUGAACCGCAUGGUUCAAUAGUGAAAGACGGUUUUGCUGUAACUUAUAGAUGGAUCCGCGCCGCAUUAGCUAGUUGGUAAGGUAACGGCUUACCAAGGCAACGAUGCGUAGCCGACCUGAGAGGGUGAUCGGCCACACUGGAACUGAGACACGGUCCAGACUCCUACGGGAGGCAGCAGUAGGGAAUCUUCCGCAAUGGGCGAAAGCCUGACGGAGCAACGCCGCGUGAGUGAUGAAGGUCCUCGGAUCGUAAAACUCUGUUAUUAGGGAAGAACAAAUGUGUAAGUAACUAUGCACGUCUUGACGGUACCUAAUCAGAAAGCCACGGCUAACUACGUG
RNAcentral lists this ribosomal RNA (497 nucleotides) under uncultured bacterium. RNAcentral describes it as "partial 16S ribosomal RNA". It matches the Rfam family "Bacterial small subunit ribosomal RNA", at positions 28 to 507 of the family's 1533-position model. The record is from RNAcentral.